UAAUCUUUUGCCACCGAUUGAUAAUUGAGG
RNAcentral lists this non-coding RNA (30 nucleotides) under Mus musculus (house mouse). The record is from RNAcentral. Lineage: Eukaryota; Metazoa; Chordata; Mammalia; Rodentia; Muridae.